AUUGAACGCUGGCGGCAUGCUUUGCACAUGCAAGUCGAACGGUAACAGGCCGCAAGGUGCUGACGAGUGGCGAACGGGUGAGUAAUGCAUCGGAACGUGCCCAGUCGUGGGGGAUAACUACUCGAAAGAGUAGCUAAUACCGCAUACGAUCUAUGGAUGAAAGCGGGGGACCGUAAGGCCUCGCGCGAUUGGAGCGGCCGAUGUCAGAUUAGGUAGUUGGUGGGGUAAAGGCUCACCAAGCCAACGAUCUGUAGCUGGUCUGAGAGGACGACCAGCCACACUGGGACUGAGACACGGCCCAGACUCCUACGGGAGGCAGCAGUGGGGAAUUUUGGACAAAGGGCGCAAGCCUGAUCCAGCAAUGCCGCGUGCAGGAAGAAGGCCUUCGGGUUGUAAACUGCUUUUGUACGGAACGAAACGGCUCUGGUUAAUACCCGGGGCUAAUGACGGUACCGUAAGAAUAAGCACCGGCUAACUACGUG
RNAcentral lists this ribosomal RNA (482 nucleotides) under uncultured bacterium. Its description in RNAcentral is "partial 16S ribosomal RNA". It matches the Rfam family "Bacterial small subunit ribosomal RNA", at positions 30 to 507 of the family's 1533-position model. The record is from RNAcentral.